Long non-coding RNA from Chenopodium quinoa (quinoa), 1823 nucleotides. RefSeq lists it as uncharacterized. The transcript has 8 exons. The record is from RefSeq and is a predicted model, not a curated record. NCBI's taxonomy places the organism in Eukaryota, Viridiplantae, Streptophyta, Magnoliopsida, Caryophyllales, Amaranthaceae.
AAUCCUUACUUGCGGCAAGAUUCAGAGGCUUCAAGACCACCUUAGUUCGUCGGUUUAUCACAAAGAAACUUGUGAGAAAACCAAAGAACAAGAAAGGAGGUGGCAAUGAUGAUGAAGUAAUCGAUGAAGAGAAACUCCCAUGGCAAAUAUGACCUAGCGUAUCAAAGGAAAAUUGGGAUGCUUUCGUUCUUCAAAAAAGCAAAAAAGAAGGAAUUGAAAUAAGGGAGCAGAAUUCCAAGAAUGCAUUGCAGAAGCAAUACUACCAUCGUAUGGGGUGUAUGACGUUUGAUGAAUGGAGGGAGACGUAGGUGAGUGAAGGAGUAUACCCCACUGCGCUUCUAGGGUCCUCCACAGUGCCCUCUGACUCCACGACCAGUACUUUGGUGAGUCAUGCCGAAGAUUUCUUUUGUUCUUUGCAUUCUCGUGACAAGAAAACCGGAAAAUGGUCCAUCAAGGCUCCGGAAACGAAAGAAAUGGCAGAUAAACUUCUUGAGUACACUGAAGAGCAUGUUGAAGGCAAGCUCGUCCCAACAAUGGAGAAGGACCCUUUCACUUUGGCUUUGGGAAAGCCCUACCAUCCAGGACGCGUAUUGGGUGCGGAGGGGAGCUAGCUAGGAUGGGAGAAGGUGAUGGGUCCGGAUUAUACCAAAUUAGGGAGAUCCCGGGCAAGUGUGAACUCACCGGUCAACUUGGAUGCCACGGUGGCAUCAAUUAAGGAACAAGUGCGCAACGAGAUGCGAGAAGAGUUUAAUGCAUGGGCAAAGCAAAUAAACUUGUCGAGCUUGCCUUUCUCCUCGGCUACACUGGUCGACUCUUCUAGUCACCCACGAAACAAGGAGAAGAUGAGAUACAUGCAGACGAGGAGGUUAGUAAUCCUGCACAUGCGUACUUGAGGGAGCUUGAAAAUCCAACACCUCAUGACUUUCCAGUUCUACAGGAAGAGACCCGUUGUGAAAUUCUUCACCCGGGCGAAUCGCUUAGUGGAGCUUUAAAUGUCGUUGCAUAUAGUAGUGCACAACCGGCCGAACAAGGUACGGUCCAUUUGCGACCGCUUCGACCUGAGCAUUAUUCGGUCGGGAUCCAUUCUGUGGUUGCCGGGUUCGAGGAUAUCUACCUGUGCCCGUAGAGGAGGAUGAGUUUACUACACCUUUGGGCGGCAAAAGGUAGUUUUGUGCAAUGGCCAUGUGCUUGGAUACGGUUGGUGAGCCAGCCAUCGAGGAAAAGCCAUACUCCAAAGAAGAGGGUGGAGGGGCUAAAAAGCAUUGAUCAACCGAUGCCAAAGAAGAGGAGUGAACAUGGCUCGGUGAGUAGAAAAGCGUCGAACAAGAGCUCUUCACGAGGUUUAGCUAUGCAAGCUACUCCACUAGUUAAAGACACGGUGCUUCAAUCGCUCUCUAAGGAGUUAACUUAUCUGCACAACCGUGUUUGCGUGUUGCCUAGUGACAGCCCCAUUCAAGUUCCACUACCUAAGGAAAUGUUCCACUACGAUGAUGAUGCAAUGGCAUGGCUAUUCAAAGAAGAUGUGAAGGAAUUUCUAAGUGGUGCAAUGCUUAACAUUUUUCUCAUUCAAAUAUGCAUCAGAGCACUCUAGGAGCACUUAUGGGAGCUUGGUUCUCCAUGUCAAAUUGGGUGGUUAUGCCCUGAGAAGAUCUCCACUGCUAGAAUCUUAGGCAACCACGCUGACGUGUUGUACUAUGUUGAACGGGGUAUCAAGGAAUCAGUGCGUGCGGGAGACAUGUUUAUAUUUGCCCCAUAUUAUGAGGAUUAUCAUUGGACCCUACUGGUGAUUUGUGUUUCCAGUAACACAAUCUUCUUCUUUGAUU